AAGAAAGGCCGGCAUUGCACUUAUAAUGCAAGUCGAACGGCUUCCAUCGUUCUUUGCUUGGUGGUGAGAGUGGCGAACGGGUGAGUAAUGCGUGACCGACCUGCCCCAUGCACCGGAAUAGCUCCUGGAAACGGGUGGUAAUGCCGGAUGCUCCAUCACACCGCAUGGUGUGUUGGGAAAGCCUUUGCGGCAUGGGAUGGGGUCGCGUCCUAUCAGCUUGAUGGCGGGGUAACGGCCCACCAUGGCUUCGACGGGUAGCCGGCCUGACAGGGCGACCGGCCACAUUGGGACUGAGAUACGGCCCAGACUCCUACGGGAGGCAGCCGUGGGGAAUAUUGCACAAUGGGCGCAAGCCUGAUGCAGCGACGCCGCGUGAAGGAUGGAGGCCUUCGGGUUGUAAACCUCUUUUGUUAGGGAGCAAGGCACUUUGUGUUGAGUGUACCUUUCAAAUAAACACCGGCUAACUACGUGCCAGCAUCCGCGGAAAUACUUAAGGUGCAAGCGUUAUCCGGAAUUAUUGGGCGUAAAGGGCUCGUAGGCGGUUCGUCGCGUCCAGUGUGAAAGAUUUCGCUUAACGGUGGAUCCGCGCGGGUUACGGUGGCCUUGAAUGCCUUUGGGAGACUGGAAAUCCCGAUGUAACGAUGGAAUGUGUAAAUAUCGUGAAGAACACCAAUGGUGAAUGAUUGUCUCUGGAACGUUACUGAAUAUGAAAAAUCU
Molecule: ribosomal RNA, 717 nt
Filed under: Bifidobacterium breve
Lineage: Bacteria; Bacillati; Actinomycetota; Actinomycetes; Bifidobacteriales; Bifidobacteriaceae
Description: bacterial SSU rRNA
Rfam family: Bacterial small subunit ribosomal RNA
Source: RNAcentral